AGAGCGAACGCUGGCGGCGUGCUUAACACAUGCAAGUCGAACGCGCAGCAUUCUGUAGCAAUACAGGGUGUGGGCGCGUGGCGAACGGGUGAGUAACACGUGACUAACCUACCUUCGAGUGGGGGAUAACCUCGGGAAACCGGGGCUAAUACCGCAUAACAUCUUUGAAGUGGAAAUUUCGGAGAUCAAAGGGGCAAUUCGCUUGAAGAGGGGGUCGCGGCUGAUUAGCUAGUUGGCGGGUAACGGCCCACCAAGGCUUAGAUCGGUAGCCGGCCUGAGAGGGCGCACGGCCACACUGGAACUGAAACACGGUCCAGACUCCUACGGGAGGCAGCAGUGGGGAAUUUUGCGCAAUGGGGGAAACCCUGACGCAGCAACGCCGCGUGGAGGAUGAAGUCCCUUGGGACGUAAACUCCUUUCGACCCGGACGAUAAUGACGGUACGGGUGGAAGAAGCCCCGGCUAACUUCGUGCCAGCAGCCGC
This 483-nucleotide ribosomal RNA is filed under the name uncultured bacterium. RNAcentral's name for it is "SSU rRNA". It matches the Rfam family "Bacterial small subunit ribosomal RNA", at positions 26 to 518 of the family's 1533-position model. The record is from RNAcentral.